AAUCAACGCUGGCGGCGUGCCUCAGACAUGCAAGUCGAACGAUUAAAGCUCUCUUCGGAGAGUGUAUAGAGUGGCGCACGGGUGAGUAACACGUAAGUAAUCUACCUUCGAGUGGGGAAUAACGUCCGGAACGGACGCUAAUACCGCAUAAUGCAGCGGCAUCGCAAGAUGACAGUUGUUAAAGAUUUAUCGCUUGAAGAGGAGCUUGCGGCAGAUUAGCUAGUUGGUAAGGUAACGGCUUACCAAGGCUACGAUCUGUAUCCGGUCUAAGAGGACGGUCGGACACACUGACACUGGAAUAACGGGUCAGACUCCUACGGGAGGCAGCAGUCGGGAAUUUUGGG
This 344-nucleotide ribosomal RNA is filed under the name uncultured bacterium. RNAcentral describes it as "bacterial SSU rRNA". It matches the Rfam family "Bacterial small subunit ribosomal RNA", at positions 32 to 368 of the family's 1533-position model. The record is from RNAcentral.